Molecule: ribosomal RNA, 234 nt
Filed under: uncultured bacterium
Lineage: Bacteria
Description: partial 16S ribosomal RNA
Rfam family: Bacterial small subunit ribosomal RNA
Source: RNAcentral
CAAGUUGAACGUUGUUUUCGAAUAAAAAUGAAAACAAAGUGGCGAACGGGUGCGUAACACGUAGGAAUCUGCCAAACAGUUUGGGCCAAAUCCUGAAUGAAUAAAAGCUAAAAAGCGCUGUUUGAUGAGCCCACGUAGUAUUAGGUAGUUGGUUAGGUAAAAGCUGACCAAGCCUACGAUGCUUAGCUGGUCUUUUCGGAUGAUCAGCCACACUGGGACUGAGACACGGCCCAG